CGGCGGACGGGUGAGUAACGCGUGGGUAACCUGCCUCAUACAGGGGGAUAACAGCUAGAAAUGACUGCUAAUACCGCAUAAGACCACGGUACCGCAUGGUACAGUGGUAAAAACUCCGGUGGUAUGAGAUGGACCCGCGUCUGAUUAGGUAGUUGGUGGGGUAACGGCCUACCAAGCCGACGAUCAGUAGCCGACCUGAGAGGGUGAUCGGCCACAUUGGGACUGAGACACGGCCCAG
RNAcentral lists this ribosomal RNA (238 nucleotides) under uncultured bacterium. RNAcentral's name for it is "partial 16S ribosomal RNA". It matches the Rfam family "Bacterial small subunit ribosomal RNA", at positions 96 to 334 of the family's 1533-position model. The record is from RNAcentral.